This 98-nucleotide ribosomal RNA is filed under the name Escherichia coli. RNAcentral's name for it is "partial 16S ribosomal RNA". The stretch from base 1 to 86 matches the Rfam family "Bacterial small subunit ribosomal RNA", at positions 1448 to 1533 of the family's 1533-position model. RNAcentral also lists the same sequence under 10 other names. The record is from RNAcentral. Lineage: Bacteria; Pseudomonadati; Pseudomonadota; Gammaproteobacteria; Enterobacterales; Enterobacteriaceae.
GGGCGCUUACCACUUUGUGAUUCAUGACUGGGGUGAAGUCGUAACAAGGUAACCGUAGGGGAACCUGCGGUUGGAUCACCUCCUUACCUUAAAGAAGC